CCCUGCUCCCAUUGCCCUUCCAACAUUGGCAACACAGACCUUGUGCUUCAGUCACCUUUGCAGGGGAGAAUUCAGGCUUAUGCUGGGAGACGCAUGCUCAGAAGGAGAUGACAACGCACGGAAGUGGCAGGGCACCAAAAGCCCACGGGGUGCCUGGGGACGAGGGCUAUUUGCGGAACUAGAGACAUGCCAAGAAAAGGUGUGUCUGAUCUGCUGCCUCACUCCUCUGCCCGUACACGCCUGCGUGAGCCUGGUAUGCACACUACAGCAUCCAGCAGAGAAGGCUGAAAAGUUUUGCAGUGGUCACCUUCUAAGGAUGGAAUUAUAAGACACAGAUCAGAUGAGGUGAAGCAGCACAGAGUCCUGCAGAGCCUGGCUUUUCGACGUGGGCAUUUUGUUCUUUGUGCAGCAUCUCCCAGAAGCACACGCUGAAGACUUCCCUGUAAUGUGACCUCUGAAGGACAAAGUGAUCCUGGGAUCGGGGCAGAAAGCUGAAUCUGGGAGUAAAACUGCUCCAUGAGGCUAUGAGAGGAAUUCUAUAGGUUCCAUAUAUCAUUGCAAUAGUAAAUUUGUUGCUGCUAUUGUAUUUGGAAGGCGACACGAGAGCAGAGAAAGCAAGCUCUCUGAGAUGCUUUGUAAAAGUGCCGCCUGGCUCCAUCUGCAGGUGGCAGCUGAGAUGACAGCCACGCUCGGUUUGGAGGCAGACUCCACGCAGCUGGAAGCAGAGCAAGAAGCUGCUUCUCAGCCCUGCACAGAAAACUCGCCCACUGAAAGUGAAUCUCCACUCUUUUAUGGCUUCUCUCUCUAAAAGUAAAGAUUGUUGGGUCUGUGCUGAUUUUGUGCAUUUGGACUUUUGGAAUAGCCCCACUCUCCCUUGGUUUUCCUGGGGGGUGCCCUGGAGCUUGGCUGGAAAAGUUCAGGGUUCCCAUGUGUGAUAUGCAGUGAACAAACUGAUGAGCAGGGCAUGAGGAGUUUGGGGUUUGGCUCCACACCUGAGCUGGGAUGGUUGUUGGGGGCUGUUGGUGUUGGCUCUGGGGGCCCACAGCUGCUGCCUGUUCCCUUCCCUUCCCAGUAACGUUCCUGCA
RNAcentral lists this long non-coding RNA (1085 nucleotides) under Gallus gallus (chicken). RNAcentral's name for it is "lncRNA (ENSGALG00010018681.1)". The record is from RNAcentral. Lineage: Eukaryota; Metazoa; Chordata; Aves; Galliformes; Phasianidae.